RNAcentral lists this ribosomal RNA (413 nucleotides) under uncultured Gaetbulibacter sp. RNAcentral describes it as "bacterial SSU rRNA". It matches the Rfam family "Bacterial small subunit ribosomal RNA", at positions 369 to 780 of the family's 1533-position model. The record is from RNAcentral. Lineage: Bacteria; Pseudomonadati; Bacteroidota; Flavobacteriia; Flavobacteriales; Flavobacteriaceae.
CAAUGGAGGCAACUCUGAUCCAGCCAUGCCGCGUGCAGGAAGACUGCCCUAUGGGUUGUAAACUGCUUUUAUACGGGAAGAAACACCCUACGUGUAGCGGCUUGACGGUACCGUAAGAAUAAGGAUCGGCUAACUCCGUGCCAGCAGCCGCGGUAAUACGGAGGAUCCAAGCGUUAUCCGGAAUCAUUGGGUUUAAAGGGUCCGUAGGUGGAUAAUUAAGUCAGAGGUGAAAUCUUGCAGCUCAACUAUAAAAUUGCCUUUGAUACUGGUUAUCUUGAAUUAUUGUGAAGUGGUUAGAAUAUGUAGUGUAGCGGUGAAAUGCAUAGAUAUUACAUAGAAUACCAAUUGCGAAGGCAGAUUACUAACAAUAUAUUGACACUGAUGGACGAAAGCGUGGGGAGCGAACAGGAUUA